GACGAACGCUGGCGGCGUGCUUUAUACAUGCAAGUCAAGGAGAACCUAUUCUUCGGAAUAGUAGUAAACUGGCGAACGGGUGAGUAACACGUAGGUAACCUGCCCUAGAGAUUGGGACAACUUCGGGAAACCGGAGCUAAUACCGAAUAAUGCAGCGGACCCCUUGGGGUACAGUUGUUAAAGCGGGCUUCGGCUCGCGCUUUAGGAUGGGCCUGCGUCCGAUUAGCUUGUUGGUGGGGUAAUAGCCUACCAAGGCAAUGAUCGGUAGCUGGUCUGAGAGGAUGAUCAGCCACACUGGGAUUGAGAUACGGCCCAGACCUCUACGGGGGGCAGCAGUAGGGAAUUUUGCGCAAUGGGCGAAAGCCUGACGCAGCAACGCCGCGUGAUCGAUGAAGCUUCUAGGAGCGUAAAGAUCUGUCGUGAGGGAAGAAAAAUUCGGAGGUAAAUAAUUUUCGUUUUUGACGGUACCUCACAAGAAAGCACCGGCUAACUUCGUGCCAGCCGCCGCCGUAACAC
RNAcentral lists this ribosomal RNA (516 nucleotides) under uncultured bacterium. RNAcentral describes it as "bacterial SSU rRNA". It matches the Rfam family "Bacterial small subunit ribosomal RNA", at positions 28 to 526 of the family's 1533-position model. The record is from RNAcentral.